RNAcentral lists this ribosomal RNA (151 nucleotides) under Escherichia coli 6-319-05_S3_C1. Its description in RNAcentral is "partial 23S ribosomal RNA". Lineage: Bacteria; Pseudomonadati; Pseudomonadota; Gammaproteobacteria; Enterobacterales; Enterobacteriaceae. The record is from RNAcentral.
GGACGAACAGUGGGGCUAUGUCGGGGCUAAAUCGCGCCAGCGCUGGCUGUUUUACGCGUAUGACAGGCUUCGGAAGACGGUUGUUGCGCACGUAUUCGGUGAACGCACUAUGGCGACGCUGGGGCGUCUUAUGAGCCUGCUGUCACCCUUU